GAACACAGGUCCUGGAUCAAAUGGGUCGAUGCCGUCGCUUUGUCUGGUUGUUAGGGACAUUGACCCCGCGGUAUGGUAUAGGGGUAUUUUCUGUAUGGACCUUAAAGUCUUAUAUGGGCCAGGCUAGGGUUAGUAUAAAUAAUAUAUUGUAACCCUAGUUUUAACAACUGAAAAAAGAAGUCUUUGCUUCGCUCUCGUGGACGUAGGCAAACCACCGAACCACGUAAAAUUCUUGUGUUGAUUUUCGUUUUUCAUCUCUUUAAUAUUGCGCAUAAAAUCCAACAGUUCCUUUGAUAUUUUUCUUGUGUAUUCUUUAUUGAAUUUCUUCCCAUUGUGUAUAUGUUUUUUGAUUUCUGCAGAUGUAGUGUUGAAUAUGGGAUUUUUCCCCUUUUUCGUUUGAUCUUUUGGGAGAUCAAACCCAAAAUACCUAUUAUGCAACGAGAGUGGAGAAGAUUGAGGCUGACCCAAGUAGAGAUCUGAUUGAUUUCCAGGUACACCAUUUUUAAUUUGCUUUUGAGGAUCACGUUCGAAUAGUUGAAUCAGACCAUACUUCAUCUUUAGUAACUUGUUAGUUGAGUUGUCAUCUGUGUAAAAACUACCUUUGAAUUGUAAUAAAUGUAAAUGAUGCUUCAAAUUGAUCAUAAUUCUUAGUGAACUUGUUGUCUUCUAUCGGGUUAUAAGAAUGUGAUUUCUUGAUGUUUUCAUGUGGCAGAACAUGCUAGAUUAUAUGGGAAAAAUUGUGAGCACCUUUUUUGAAUUGAGCUUUAACUUUAUUUUGAAGAUCUUCGCUGUGGUUGAAAUUCAAGAUGGUUAGAAUUUUGUGUUAUGUUAUAAAUGCAUCUAUUUGGUUGCAACUUGCAAGUUAUAUAAAAUUUGUUUCAGUCCCCUCUCGAUGAAAGAAACAAACUUUACAAUUUCCUGUUUGGUUGACAUUAGACCACGGACAUAGAAGUUGAGUGUUUCAAUUUAGUGAAUAAAUUAGAGCUGAGUUGGAACACGAAAAAAUUCGACCAAAGAAGAGAUCACCAAAGAAGAGAUCACAAUUGCGAUGGGAUUUCUCUUCCUACUCUCUAGGGCUUCAAAUCUUGAAUGUUGAGGUACAACCCUUUUAAGCACUUUGGUUGUCUUCAAGUGCAUUUUGCCAGAAGUAUUUCAGUGCAUUUUGCCAGAAGUAUUUCAAAGUUUUUAGGUGCAUCCCCAAUUCUCUCCCACAAAUGAAAAUAUGUUAAUGUAUUUUUCUUCAUUCUUUAUCGUCUUUUUGUUUGUAAUUUAAUUUCAUUUAAUUGGAUUUGGUUUCUUUUGAUUUCACGUGCUCAUGCCUUUGUAAUCUGAUGUUUGAGUGAGUAGUGUGAUUCUAAUUGAAACCUAACCUUUGAACAGGUGCAAUUUUAAAUUGUUGGGAUCCCGUUUGUUAACUCAGUUGAGAACAGAAUAGAAGAUUCAAUAUUUGUGAACUUCUUUUCCUACAGUCUAUUUGAAUGUUUGUUUGGUUUUUUAAGUUCUCUCUCAUUUCUUAGACAAUCCUACUGGAUAUAAACCUUUGGUUUGGUUUCUUCUGAAUGGGUUCGACCUUCUGUGUCACUAUGUUUUGUAGAUUUACAGGUCAUUUGCAUUUCUCUGUUCUUUGUACGGUCUUUUUCGUGAAUUUUGAAAAGCAUUUGGAACUCCUUUAUUAGUUUGAGUGGGAGGGCAUUGCCCGGGUGCUUACAAGUGUUUAAUGUUGAACUUUUGACAUGAAAAUAUAAUGUUUAAGCUGUGCUAUUUUUCUGUGCAGGAAGCUGUUUUUUAAUUGCAUUUUGGCUAGCUGUUGAAGCAAAAGAAAAAUUGCUUUGACAUCAUAAGCUGGAAAAUAUAUUUGACCAAUGGAAGUUAACUGUAAGCUAAGAAGG
This 1889-nucleotide long non-coding RNA is filed under the name Olea europaea subsp. europaea. The record is from RNAcentral. Lineage: Eukaryota; Viridiplantae; Streptophyta; Magnoliopsida; Lamiales; Oleaceae.